This 465-nucleotide ribosomal RNA is filed under the name uncultured bacterium. Its description in RNAcentral is "partial 16S ribosomal RNA". It matches the Rfam family "Bacterial small subunit ribosomal RNA", at positions 338 to 795 of the family's 1533-position model. The record is from RNAcentral.
CCUACGGGAGGCAGCAGUAGGGAAUCUUCGGCAAUGGACGAAAGUCUGACCGAGCAACGCCGCGUGAGUGAAGAAGGUUUUCGGAUCGUAAAACUCUGUUGAUAGAGAAGAACGUUGGUGAGAGUGGAAAGCUCAUCAAGUGACGGUAACUACCCAGAAAGCGACGGCUAACUACGUACCAGCAGCGGCGGUAAUAAGUAGGUCCCUAGCGUUGUCGGGUUUUAUUGGGCGAAAGGCUAGGGCAGGUGGUUUAUUAAGUCUGGUGUAAAAGGCAGUGGCUAAACCAUUGUAUGCAUUGGAAACUGGUAGACUUGAGUGCAGGUGAGGAGAGUGGAAUUCCAGGUGUAGCGGUGAAAUGCGUAGAUAUAUGGAAGAACACCGAUGGCGAAGGCGGCUCUCUGGCCUGUAACUGACACUGAGGCUCGAAAGCGUGGGGAGCAAACAGGAUUAGAUACCCCAGUAGUC